Ochotona curzoniae (black-lipped pika) is the source of this 960-nucleotide long non-coding RNA. RefSeq lists it as uncharacterized. The record is from RefSeq and is a predicted model, not a curated record. The transcript has 6 exons. Lineage: Eukaryota; Metazoa; Chordata; Mammalia; Lagomorpha; Ochotonidae.
UGACAGAUAUCUUGACUUGGGUUUUACUGCAACUCUGGAGAGACUGAAGUACAAGACAGUUAAAACUGGAGCAAAGAGGCAACUGAGGUAGCCUCAGGAAAACACAUAACUAGAACUUUGAUGAAAUGGGGGGUUCACUUUCUUUUCCCUUCCAGGAAAGUAUUUUGUCAGAAAGGAAACAAAUUGAUGAAGAUGAUGCUAAAAGAUGAAUUCUUAGUACAGUCGAACUGAAACAAAAAGAGAAGAGCUCAGCAGCAGCUUCUGCCACAAGAAGCAGAAACCCUUGUUCUCUUUUCCUCCAAAAAGCAGCCGUCAUGGAGUCCAUCAGUCGAAGUCCCAGGAGGUCAUUGGCAAAUGGAAAAAUUGGAGGUUGAUGAGGCUAAUCCUGGAGGCAAACACCAGGCUGGCCUGCUGGUGCCCCUAAGGAGACCAAUGAAGAAUAGCAAUCAGGGGUCUUUAGAGAAGACCCAAGGAGACCUUCUCUCUCAAGGGUGUCUGGGACUAUUCCAGUUAUAAAAUGGAAGACUGUUUUCUGGAAUGUUCAUCUGCUCCAGGCAUCAUGAAAACAACUUGUAGAAAGGAGUUGGAUUACCUUCUUGACGGUUAUGAUGCCUACUUGGAAAUUGGGAUCUGUGUUGAUGUCAAAAACAUCAGCACCAUCGCCAUCCAAGAUAGUGUAUUUCAUCUCUGCGUUUAUUCCUUCAUCCAAGUCCUCGGCAAACAGUCUCCCCACAGUGGAGCUAACUGGAGCUGACUCCAACACACUCAUCUGAUAAAGUCCUGUGGAGAAAAUCAAGAACAUGCAUCCUUGGUCAUCUGUCACUAUGCCCACUUUUGCUUCAUUUGUCAGACCAGUGUACUGAGAACCCAUCUUUAUGGGUUCCAGCCCUCCCAGAGAAAACGGCACCCAGCAAUCCAGAGGAGGAAAAGUGACAGGCACAAGUGCCACCAGGCCCUUGU